GUGGGGAAUAUUGCGCAAUGGGCGAAAGCCUGACGCAGCCACGCCGCGUGGAGGAAGACACCCCUACGGGGCGUAAACUCCUUUUAUAUGGGAAGAAGGCUUUCCUCUGGAAAGAUUGACGGUACCAUACGAAUAAGCACCGGCUAACUCCGUGCCAGCAGCCGCGGUAAUACGGAGGGUGCAAGCGUUGUCCGGAUUCACUGGGUGUAAAGGGUGUGUAGGCGGGACUGUAAGUCAGAGGUGAAAGCCCACGGCUCAACCGUGGAAUUGCCUUUGAUACUGCAGUUCUUGAGUCUCGGAGAGGUCAUUGGAAUUCGUGGUGUAGCGGUGAAAUGCGUAGAUAUCACGAGGAACAUCAGAGGCGUAGGCGGAUGACUGGACGAGUACUGACGCUGAGGCACGAAAGCGUGGGGAGCAAACAGG
RNAcentral lists this ribosomal RNA (423 nucleotides) under uncultured bacterium. RNAcentral's name for it is "bacterial SSU rRNA". It matches the Rfam family "Bacterial small subunit ribosomal RNA", at positions 354 to 776 of the family's 1533-position model. The record is from RNAcentral.